CCCUUAGAUGUUCUGGGCUGCACGCGCGCUACACUGGUCGAUGCAACGAGUUUCUUUCCUUGGCCGACAGGCCUGGGCAAUCUUUGAACAUCGAUCGUGAUCGGGAUAGAUUCUUGUAAUUUUUGAUCUUAAACGAGGAAUUCCUAGUAAACGCAAGUCAUCAGCUUGCAUUGAUUACGUCCCUGCCCUUUGUACACACCGCCCGUCGCACCUACCGAUUGAAUGGUCCGGUGAAAUCUCCGGACUGGCGUGAGUCGGAGCAAUCUGACAAACACCGGAAAGUUGAUUAAACCUUACCAUUUAGAGGAAGGUGAAGUCGUANCA
RNAcentral lists this ribosomal RNA (324 nucleotides) under uncultured eukaryote. RNAcentral's name for it is "partial 18S ribosomal RNA". It matches the Rfam family "Eukaryotic small subunit ribosomal RNA", at positions 1470 to 1796 of the family's 1831-position model. The record is from RNAcentral.